CUUUUAGACAGCUAAUACAGUAACUGUUUUGACGCUGAUGGCUAACAUAAACACAGCAAACAGUUAGCUAACUGAGUUAGCUUAGUUAACUAGCUACUGUAUAGGUUUUUGUAGGUUGUGUUAUACCUAUCCCAGGCAGAUCAUUUGGUUUGGCUCGGACAUUUGUUGUAUUGUUGUAGCUAGCUGGUAAGAUUUCAGUGCAGUCAUUUACCUUAGCUAGCUAGCAGCAUGUUAGCAACAACCACAGAAAGAAGUAACGUUAGUGGCAAUAGCUAGUUAGCUAGCAGCAUGUUAGCAACAACAACAGAUGGAAGUAACGUUAGUAGCAAUAGCUAGUUAGCUAGCAGUAUGUUAGCAACAACAACAGAUGGAAGUAACGUUAGUGGCAAUAGCUAGUUAGCUAGCAGCAUGUUAGCAACAACAACAGAUGGAAGUAACGUUAGUAGCAAUAGCUAGUUAGCUAGCAGUAUGUUAGCAACAACAACAGACGGAAGUAACGUUAGUGGCAAUAGCUAGUUAGGCAGCAAACAGUUGGUCCUUUUAUUCACAGGUCUCAAUAUUCGACAGACCAAGGAAGUCAAGGAGGUGAGACCGGUGGCUACAUCAGGGUGAAUCUGCAGUAUUGUGUGAGGUGGGGAAGCUCCAUGCGUCCAUCCAGACUGAGUCGCUCAGCCUCCAACAAGGCCUCUGAAGCCUGGGGCUCCAGUGACCCUGCUGCCCAGCCGGGGAUGACGACGAGGAGGGGGAGGAGUAGUAGUAGGCGGCGGGGGGAGGGUGAAGGGACAGGGCCGGACUGGGACUCUGCUGACUCAAGCAUCGUGAUCUCAGACGAGGCCACGGAUAAUGACCUGAUUGAUCAUCACCAUGGAAACCACAGUGUCUCAGAAUGUGGGUCACCACCGCUAGAGCUGUCAGUCAGCCAGGGGAAGGCUGUGAUUGGUGGAAAGGUGACAGGGCAGAUGGAGAGAGGCGUAGAGUCAGACGCUGAAUCCUGCUGCUCAUUGGACAGCAUUGUCUCUGGCCCCUCCUUCAUUGUUCAAGGCACUCCACUAACUCUUCCCCCUGGUCUGUGUUUGACAUGUCAGAGACUUCACAGAGAAGCCCAGAGGGGAAGACCCACUCCGCUGGACAAACUAACAGACAAUGAUCCCACUUCCUUGUCAUGUGACCAAUGGGUUCUCAUGAAGAAGUGGACACCCAGAAGACCACAGAACAUUAAAGGGAGGCUGUGGAUCCAUCUGGGCCGGAUUAGACACAGAGAGCAGACCAGGGGAGAACAGCCAGCCUGCUCCAGACCACACAUUUUCCUACAGAGGUAACACACACUCACAACCUGAGGAACCUGGGGAGAUAUGAGAACCAGGCUGUGAGCAGAGGGAGGAAGAGGAAGAAGAGGUCCAGAGGAAGUCGUCAGAGGGCGGGAACAUGCAUCCAAAGCAACAGUCUCAACCGCAGUGGUCUCCAUAGCAGCGCUCUCCAUAGCGAUCCUGAUGAAAAGGCGGAGAACAGUGAUGACAGCGGUCUGGAGCGUACACGCAGGGUCCUCACCUUCCAGGUGGUCCCCUCCACCAUUACCAUGGAAACCCAGCAGGAGGCCACGCCCCCACAGGAGGAGGAGCCCAGGAAGAAGAGCGGCGGCUUCAGAUCCCAGCUGGCUCAGCUCCAAGCCAACCGCAGCCGUGUCGUCAGGGAAACACACACAUGACUGAUGACAUCACUGUCAGAUUCCAAAUAUGUUCUUUAUUGCCAUCCUUGAUUGUUUGUCAAUUCUCUACCUGCUUCUGCUCAGUUUGUUCUCCUUCAAGCAUGGCUGGAGGGAGUUACCAUCAUAUCUCUUCCAUUAGAGGGGAUGUGCAUGGAGUUACUAUUUACACAGUGUCUCUUAUACUAGUUGAAUCUAGUUUUGAAUGUAAAUAAUUGUCAUGUUUCUGUUGAAGUUAGUUAUCUGUAUCAGAUCUUCCCUGUUUAUUUCACACUGAAGAAUACAUGUUAUUUUAUUGUAUCUCUUCUGUUCAGAGAUGAGGUCUCUACUACCAGACACAGCUGGGACAGUGCCCUCUACUGAUAUGGCCCGUAUUCAUAAACCUCAGAAUAGGACUGCUGAUCUAGGACCAGAUCAGAAUGAAGGGACAGGGGGUCCUGAUUCUAUUCAGAAUGAAGGGACAGGGGGUCCUGAUUCUAUUCAGAAGGGACAGGGGGUCCUGAUUCUAUUCAGAAUGAAGGGACAUGGGGUCCUGAUUCUAUUCAGAAUGAAGGGACAUGGGUUCCUGAUUCUAUUCAGAAUGAAGGGACAGGGGGUCCUGAUUCUAUUCAGAAUGAAGGGACAGGGGGUCCUGAUUCUAUUCAGAAUGAAGGGACAGGGGGUCCUGAUUCUAUUCAGAAUGAAGGGACAGGGGGUCCUGAUUCUAUUCAGAGGGGACAGGGGUCCUGAUUCUAUUCAGAAUGAAGGGACAGGGGGUCCUGAUUCUAUUCAGAAGGGACAGGGGGUCCUGAUUCUAUUCAGAAUGAAGGGACAGGGGGUCCUGAUCCUAUUCAGAAUGAAGGGACAUGGGGUCCUGAUUCUAUUCAGAAGGGACAGGGGGUCUUGAUUCUAUUCAGAAUGAAGGGACAGGGGGUCCUGAUCCUAUUCAGAAUGAAGGGACAUGGGGUCCUGAUUCUAUUCAGAAGGGACAGGGGGUCUUGAUUCUAUUCAGAAUGAAGGGACAGGGGGUCCUGAUCCUAUUCAGAAUGAAGGGACAGGGGGUCCUGAUCCUAUUCAGAAUGAAGGGACAGGGGGUCCUGAUCCUAUUCAGAAUGAAGGGACAUGGGGUCCUGAUCCUAGAUCAGCACUCCUAUUCAGAGAUGCUUUUAGAAUAUUGACCAAGGCUUGACAUUGCGAUGAAUUUGCUAGUGCCAACUGAAAGCUACUGGCCCGAAUGGGAAAUGAUAUACUGUCCUGGGUUGACAUCUGACAUAAACUCAGCAUAAAAAGAAACGUCCUCUCACUG
RNA transcript from Oncorhynchus kisutch (coho salmon), 2987 nucleotides. RefSeq lists it as uncharacterized. NCBI's taxonomy places the organism in Eukaryota, Metazoa, Chordata, Actinopteri, Salmoniformes, Salmonidae. The record is from RefSeq and is a predicted model, not a curated record. The transcript has 6 exons.